UUUUGUUAAAAUGUGACAGUAGAUAAAACUCGGCAUAUCAUUGUGCCCCAGAAACCAAAGUACAGUCGAGUAAAUUACUCCUGACGAAAGAGCUUCCAAGAAAGCAAAAAUCGGUUGUCCACGGUGUCUUGAACUCCAAAUUCUUAUUUAUUAGAGGAGAAUGAAAAUUGCCCAAAUUUAUGCUGAUUUAUUGAUACAUUUUGAUGCCGAAUUUAAUAAAACGUCCAAAAUUGUCAAACAAAAAAGUUUACUUCGCUAUGGUUUGCAGAAUUUGGAUUUAUUGUUGCAAAAAUUAGAACUUCGUUGUACUGUGUUAAAUUGAGAAUGGAUUAUUAUUUUCCAACCGUAUUAUUACCAUCUAUCGCGUUAUACAAGUGGAGGUUAUUACAAAUCAUAGAAAAGGAAAGAAAAUUAACUGGUACUAAUAAAAUAGACGAUGUUACCAAAGAUAUUAUCCGACGAAUAUAAAAUAAACUGUGUAAGUUUCUAAUUGGAGUAACAAUAUAGUUAUCAUGGAAUCUUGUAUCGUCGAACUUUAACAAGAAUAUUUACGAAGUUUUAAGACAUACUGACACUCAAACAGAAAUAUAGUAUCUAUAUUUGAUAUAGACGACGUAGUUGAAUAUGGCAGGGUGUCUUUUCAAUCGUUACUCUGUUAUUAAUCAAUUGGAAUUCGAUCCAUGUUUUAAUGAAAAAAUGAGUAUUUAUUAUAGUCCUCUUCUUUCUUUGCUGAAAUUUAUUUCCAACACUUGAUAGUAUCUUAUCAUCAUCACUGAAUCUCAUAAAAUAAAAAUCUUGUUCUCUACUACGUGCCUGAAUUAAAUAUUCAUUCUACUAUAAAACUGAGAUACCAGCACAAUAAGAAAAUUCAUGAAAAGCAAAAAGAAAAUUGUCAAGUACGUGAUAACGUCCUUCAUAGUGACCAGAUAAACUAGGUCGCAACGAAUGUUAACGAUAAAAUGCGAAGUUAUAUCAGGAUGUUGCCAAAUUUAUUUUAAUCGAAUUGUUACAUUAUAAUAGUUCAGUUUUUUGAAAAGUUUUUCGCCGUUUGCCAAAACUUCUACUAUGUUAUUUUUCAUGGAAGUUACCAAAUCGGAGAGAAUCUGUUAUGAAUGAGGAAUAUUGACUGAAAAUAUAUAAAUAAUUUGAAAGUGUGUUUAAAGAUAACGAAUUAAAUAUAAGAAUUAUUAUUUUGAAGAAUGUAAAUAAACAGAGCAGUCUUUAUAGUUUCCCCUAAUCGAAAAGUUUCUCCUCAUAUGUUUUCUAGUAAUAAUAUUUGAUUCAAUUCCAGCGACGCAUCAGUAUGUGUGAACUAGAUUUAAAGAGUAAUCUAUGUAAAUAUGGAAGUCUAUAUUCCUUACUUAUUGAAUGAUUUUGCAAAUAACAACUCAUAAUUUAUUUGAAACUGUAAUAGGUUAUCGCAAAUGGUGUACAAAUCCUAGUACCUGAAAUCCUACAAACUUUGUUGUCUUCAGUAAUAUCUACAAGCAGACCGUAGAUGCUACCAAGAAAAGAUAUAAUGAGAGAGUGAUGAACAGACUCAUCAAUUGUCCAAAUUGAUGAGGAUCUGUAAAAUAAGACUUGUACUGAAUCAAAUUUCACCAUUUACUAGAGAACAUGGACAAAAGAGAAAGGGGACUUGUUAAGUCUCAUUAAGUUACUUUAAACUUAACUUUUGAAUCGUAGGGCAAAGUACCAAAGUACAACCCAGCCUACCUGGAGAUGAUUCAUCUAUACUAGAAAUAGAAUGCCGACACCGACAAAACAUGUCAGAGAUUUGGACAUCAAUAAAGCUACUGGCUUUAAGAGAACACCCCUAAUCGUAUUAAAAAGAUGCGGAACUAAACUAUUAAGUCCGCUAUAUACAUCAGUUUUCUAUCAAAUAGAAGAGGUAUUUUUUUUGCUCGAGUUCAAUCCAUAUCAAAAAAAAAGAAACAAGACAGUCCCCAACAACUACCGUUCGAUUGUUUUAGUCCAAAUGAUUGCCAAGAUUAUGGAGAAAGUUGUUCACCAGCAAAUUUUGAGUUAUUUAGAGUCCGCUAACGUUGAACGUUAUCACCGACCAUCAAUACGGCUUUUGUAAACAAAUAUCAAUCGGGGACCUUUGACCUGCAUUACUAACGUAUGAACUAAAGCUAUAGACAGAUAUAGGAAAUCCUAGGUAAUUGCUCUGAUCUGAUGACUAAAUUGAGAUCAUAGGUUUGUUGUUCUCAUUCAUCGAUUAAAUCAAUAGUUUUCUCAAAGAUUCAUCCCUCUGAGGGAUCAAAAAAAGAUUCUAGUAAACGGUGGUGUUGCCCAGGGUAGUAUAGUGUCACCUAUAAUAUCCUCUUUUUCUUUCACAUCAACGAUCUACUGGGCCAAACUGCAAACCCGACCUGUAGUUUCGACGAUAAUAGCACACUGGUAUCGUCGUUCAAAUAAUCCCUCCCAAUCAACAUCCAAUCCCUUAGACAACAACCACUAUCAUCAACAUUGAUCUUGGAAAUACAAUUUCGAAAACCUAUAUAUUCUGUAACAGCUUCUCUACCAGUCCCAGAUUCGUCCAUCCUUGGAGUAUUACUCGCACAACUUCGGCAAUUAUACCCUGAGGAUGCUCGACUCACUAAUUUACUUAAAGUGAUCUAGAGUUGACCAGAAAAAAAGGUCGCUGGCAUCAUACCUGACCUGACCUACCUAGAGCAGUAGUUGCCAGAUCUACUCGACAAGCAGCUACCAAGGCACGUCUUUUCCGAACGCUAUAAAGUUUCAAUACUAUAGGAAUGUCUACAAUGCAGGCACCACUUUCCUAUUACAGUAUAAUAGAGUUAGCCAAAAGAGAGAAACUAGAGAGAGACCGCUUGAUUCUAAGCUUGUACAGGAGUUACUCAUUGAAUUGGAUAUAAAGGUAUGAUUAUGGGAAAAACGUAAGCUACAUUUUCACUAGGUGGCCAUUAUAUAUUAGAAUCCUUUAAUGAUUUAUAUGUACUUAAAUACCGAUUGUCUUUAAGUUUCUCCGAUUGCAGUAGUUUAUAAUUUAGUGUUUUUUUGUUAUUGAUGACUCUGUGAAGUAUCACUAACGUGGGGAAAUAGCAUGUGAAAAUCUCAAUUCUGUAUUGACUACUAACACAAUUUGAAGGUCUUCUGAAUUAAAACGAUUGUACUUUAGUUCUAAUUCUUGUUGUCUUUGUAUCUUGUGUCUGUGUCUUAGGUAUCACUUCUUCUUUUGUUCCCUUCAUGACCAGAAACUCUUAGAAAGGAAUUUAACUUUGACAAAAAGAAAAGAUAAGUAACAUCUCUUGGAAGUAGAUUAUAUAAAAAGGAGACAGAAGAUAAUGACUAUUGACUUCACGGGUGAACAACUCUUGUUUCCUGUUUUUCUCAUGAGUUGAUAUUUUUGAAUUAUUGUGAACUGUUUUUAAUUACAUUAAUGACAUGACAUGGACAUAUAGUAAUAUCGUAAAAAAUGUUAUACUUCUACUGACAAUAAAAUAAAUUGAAAGAUAUCAACAAAAACUAAACUGAACGUGAAAUUUUCCUUAAGAUAAUGUGAGUUGGCAACAAGGCAUCAUUAGAUAGUGGUCGCAAAUACUUCAACGUCACAAGAAUACAUUCUUGCGUUUCCCAGUCACGUAUUCGCUGCUUUCUUUCAGAGAAAAUCGAUAAAAAUAGUCAAAGUUAUAUUGCAGUGUAUUUUUUGAAUUAUGUACAACAAAGAAAUUAUCAAUACCAGAAUUAAGAAAACAUGCAAAGAUUUUUCAUUCCUAACAAUAUUCCUACAAAAAAAGGAAUUGCUUCGAAAGUUUUAAAUUGGAAAACCGGUAUACCUUCUUGUGUAUUUAAUCCUAUAGAAAUGGUUAGUGCAUUAGAAGUACAAAUCAGCAAAUAUAAUCGUUUACCUUAGUUUAGGUUCAGUUUUACUUUUGGGACUAAUACGUUGAUUUAUUCUUAUACUAGAGAUAAACCAACUUCUCAGCUGCUUCUUAAUGAAGAACUAAUGUUAUGUGUUUCAAGCUUAGAUCCUGUGUUAUGCCGAUGAGGAUCUUCAAAGAUUAUUGAAUAGCUUUAAUAUCAAGGUAAAACAGUAUAAUAUGACUACCUCGACUGAAAAAACCAUAUGCAUGACAACACCAAAAGAAGAAAGUCAAAUAAUACAACAGAGAAUGGAAUACAAGUACCUUGAAAUUGACAUUACCAGUUAUAGAAACGUAAGACGAGAUAAGAGGACAAGUAGAAAGAGAAAAUAAGGUCACGGGAUGUCUG
Long non-coding RNA from Diorhabda carinulata, 4239 nucleotides. RefSeq lists it as uncharacterized. The record is from RefSeq and is a predicted model, not a curated record. Lineage: Eukaryota; Metazoa; Arthropoda; Insecta; Coleoptera; Chrysomelidae. The transcript has 2 exons.